Molecule: non-coding RNA, 1189 nt
Organism: Maylandia zebra (zebra mbuna)
Lineage: Eukaryota; Metazoa; Chordata; Actinopteri; Cichliformes; Cichlidae
Source: RefSeq, a predicted model, not a curated record
ACAGUCCAACUCUUCUCUGCAUCAUCCCUGUUUGGGGUUUUGUGCAUUUGUGGUGACCUUCUUGUCUUUUCUACAUCAGCAGGUCGAUCCAGGGUCCCUGUGGUCGUCAUUGUCGUCACCUUAUUAUUAGUUUUGACUCUCGCUGGUUUUGCUGCAUAUUUCUCUCGCAUUUUUCAGAAACUAAAACAGAAGCAUCAAAAGGACGAUGAGACACAAAAACAACCACUGCAAGUCUAGAAGUGUAGAUGUUCAGUCAGAUUGGGGAUUCAAACCAGCAUCCACAGGGAGACACUCGGGCCCAGCAGCACUGAGAUCAUCAUAAGGUCACACCUACAAAAGGAUGUGAGCCUGAUUUGAAUGGAUGUAAACAGGAAAUAUUUCUUACAGACGUCUUCAGUCAGAGUUGCUGCUGUCAGACUCUGGAGGAUCUGCUUGGAAACAUCAGUGAAACUGAUGGAUUUCCUCCUUCAGUACAAAACUGAAGUUCAGCCUGGAGAAGAAACACUCCUCUGCCUCACUGUCAGCAUGUUUAAUGAAUAUUUAUUUAGUCUUUACCUCACUGGUUAAGGUGCACUUAAAUCUUUUAGUGAGACCUCAAAGUGUCUCUGAUGGACAAAUUAAAGGGUUUAAAUCCUCCCUGAUCAUCACUGUGCUGGACUGACAUGAAUCAUUCUCAAACCUCAGCAGGGCUGGAAGGUUUUUCAUAGCAUUAAAGGAAAUUUCCAUGAAUAUGGACGUUUGUGACACAGAUAAUGUGGAAAGAUGAAAAUAAAACAUCACCUGAACGCUGUGAUGGAAACUGACGUCACUGUAUGAAUGCAAACUUUGUUAGUACAGUUUGAGUUCUGACUGUUUUUCUUACUUCACAUGUUUGUAGACUUUGUCUACCAUCUUUAAUGUCUCAGAAAAACUGAAGCUGAACACUUUAAGUAACUGCUGCACUUUAUAAACAGAAAAAAAAGCUGAUUUAUACUCUAGAUUUUUAAAGCUACAACUAAUUUAUUAAAUUUACUGUGAAACUUCCUGCUGGUUGGGACUCGAUGUUUAGACUAUAACCUUAUAGUCUGACUUCUGACUUUUUGCUUUCACUGCCUUUAAGUCAAAGUGAGUGUUUAGCUCACAGACAGAUGAGUGUGUGAUGAAACAAGCUUAAACUUCAUCACGAGAAUAAAAACAUUUAAAUACUGAA